This 586-nucleotide ribosomal RNA is filed under the name uncultured bacterium. RNAcentral's name for it is "bacterial SSU rRNA". It matches the Rfam family "Bacterial small subunit ribosomal RNA", at positions 338 to 916 of the family's 1533-position model. The record is from RNAcentral.
CCUACGGGAGGCAGCAGUGGGGAAUUUUGGACAAUGGGCGAAAGCCUGAUCCAGCAAUGCCGCGUGUGGGAAGAAGGCCUUCGGGUUGUAAACCACUUUUGUACGGAACGAAACGGUUCGCUUUAAUACAGUGGGCUAAUGACGGUACCGUAAGAAUAAGCACCGGCUAACUACGUGCCAGCAGCCGCGGUAAUACGUAGGGUGCGAGCGUUAAUCGGAAUUACUGGGCGUAAAGCGUGCGCAGGCGGUCAUAUAAGACAGUUGUGAAAUCCCCGGGCUCAACCUGGGAAUUGCAUCUGUGACUGUAUAGCUAGAGUACGGUAGAGGGGGAUGGAAUUCCGCGUGUAGCAGUGAAAUGCGUAGAUAUGCGGAGGAACACCGAUGGCGAAGGCAAUCCCCUGGACCUGUACUGACGCUCAUGCACGAAAGCGUGGGGAGCAAACAGGAUUAGAUACCCUGGUAGUCCACGCCCUAAACCGAUGUCAACUGGUUGUUGGGUGCAUUAGUACUCAGUAACGAAGCUAACGCGUGAAGUUGACCGCCUGGGGAGUACGGCCGCAAGGUUGAAACUCAAAUGAAUUGACGG